UACGUAGGUGGCGAGCGUUGUCCGGAAUUACUGGGUGUAAAGGGUGCGUAGGCGGGUUAUAAAGUCAGAUGUGAAAUACCGAGGCUUAACUUCGGGGCUGCAUUUGAAACUUAUGAUCUUGAGUGGGGUAGAGGCAAGCGGAAUUCCCAGUGUAGCGGUGAAAUGCGUAGAUAUUGGGAGGAACACCAGUGGCGAAGGCGGCUUGCUGGGCCUUAACUGACGCUGAGGCACGAAAGCAUGGGGAGCAAACAGG
RNAcentral lists this ribosomal RNA (253 nucleotides) under uncultured bacterium. RNAcentral describes it as "partial 16S ribosomal RNA". It matches the Rfam family "Bacterial small subunit ribosomal RNA", at positions 524 to 776 of the family's 1533-position model. The record is from RNAcentral.